CUAUCCUUGUUGCUUGCACAGUCUUUAUCGGUCAUGAUGUUAAAUAUACGCCACUGGAAAACGGUGCAUUGCGUUUCUGCACAUUAUUUAUCAAUAGUAUUGUACUGAUAAAGUGACAAAUGACAAUAAGUAUUUAAAUGUAAUAUUUCAAUGAGUUAUCACUAAUUGGCCCUGUUCGGAUGAUCCUGCAGUAGAAUCGAAUUAAUCGUGGUGGAUAAGUGAUCCGAUUUCCUGGAAAACAAUGUGCGAUGAAUCUAUCGAAAAACAACCAAACCUUAGACUAUUGAGCAAGUUUGUUAUUGGAAGUCAAGUACCCCGUCUUACUCCCUCCUAACAAUGGACACCCAUGUUUUUAUUAUAAAAGUUUUAUCUUUUACAUAUAAAUAUAGAAUGAAGUAAUUAGUGAA
This is a long non-coding RNA of Rhopalosiphum maidis (corn leaf aphid), 407 nucleotides long. RefSeq lists it as uncharacterized. The record is from RefSeq and is a predicted model, not a curated record. The transcript has 3 exons. NCBI's taxonomy places the organism in Eukaryota, Metazoa, Arthropoda, Insecta, Hemiptera, Aphididae.